This is a long non-coding RNA of Pyrus x bretschneideri (Chinese white pear), 372 nucleotides long. RefSeq lists it as uncharacterized. The transcript has 2 exons. The record is from RefSeq and is a predicted model, not a curated record. Lineage: Eukaryota; Viridiplantae; Streptophyta; Magnoliopsida; Rosales; Rosaceae.
UUUUUUUCCCAACCAAGUUAAAAGAGGAAAACAAACAAUUGAGGUUAUGUUUUAAUUUUUCUUCUUUGUUGUAUUUAGCAAGUGUAUAAGUUUAAAACACGACGCGGUGAUGAUAUGAGACUCUGUCCAAAGUAUGACACGAUUCCUCAAACUUACGCAAUUACAUGACGAGGGAUAUAGAAACAGAAGAGUGUUGAACUCAUUAAAGGUAAGUUUUAGUCCACGAGAAGUAUGAUGACAAAACCAUGAUGCUAGAACACGAGAAUAAGUUUUGGUGCAUAAUCAAUAAACUAAGGUAUAAUACCAGAAUAAGAACCUAAUUAAUUAAAGUAUGAUGAGCUGUUCUGAAAAUUCCCAUACCAGAAUAAGAAC